UAUUGGACAAUGGGCGAAAGCCUGAUCCAGCAAUGCCGCGUGAGUGAUGAAGGCCUUAGGGUUGUAAAGCUCUUUUACCCGGGAUGAUAAUGACAGUACCGGGAGAAUAAGCUCCGGCUAACUCCGUGCCAGCAGCCGCGGUAAUACGGAGGGAGCUAGCGUUGUUCGGAAUUACUGGGCGUAAAGCGCACGUAGGCGGCUUUGUAAGUUAGAGGUGAAAGCCUGGAGCUCAACUCCAGAAUUGCCUUUGAUACUGCAUCGCUUGAAUCCAGGAGAGGUGAGUGGAAUUCCGAGUGUAGAGGUGAAAUUCGUAGAUAUUCGGAAGAACACCAGUGGCGAAGGCGGCACACUGGACUGGUAUUGACGCUGAGGUGCGAAG
This 379-nucleotide ribosomal RNA is filed under the name uncultured bacterium. RNAcentral's name for it is "bacterial SSU rRNA". It matches the Rfam family "Bacterial small subunit ribosomal RNA", at positions 362 to 758 of the family's 1533-position model. The record is from RNAcentral.